This 289-nucleotide long non-coding RNA is filed under the name Nicotiana benthamiana. RNAcentral's name for it is "long non-coding RNA (NBEN_LNC016410)". Lineage: Eukaryota; Viridiplantae; Streptophyta; Magnoliopsida; Solanales; Solanaceae. The record is from RNAcentral.
CCAAAAUGGCAUAUCUUUCUUAGUCUUCCUUCCCCCAAUGGAAUGAGCACAACAUGGUACUAAUACCACCAUUAAAAGAAAAAAAAUUAAAAGAAGACAUGCCAAUGUACAAGUUACAUCAUAAUUUAUGCAUUAUUCCUUGAACAUGACUUAACUCAGUUAUCCCCUGUGGUGAACGCUUCUUCUUGUUCCUUGGGGUUAAUUCUAUUGACAGUUGCACCCACAUCAUAGGCCACUUCAGUUUUUUCGACAUCUUUUGGCGUUUCAUUAACAGUUGGAGUGCUCUCAA